CAUUCAUCUAGGAAGUUGCUUUCUCCACAUUACCAAAGGUGAUAGCAGUUAGCUGCAUCAAUUAGAAAAAGUCCAGAGGGUAGGUCCUCAGCUGGUGUAAAUCAGCGUAGCUCAUUUGACUUUAAUGGUGUUACAUGACCUUACCCCAGCUCAGGAUAUGGUUCCAUAUAUCUCCAAUCAUGAUGUUGUCUAUCUGUCUCCCCGCUACACAUCUCUGCCAGGUCACUACGUUCACAUUACAGAUUUAAACCAACCCUGCAGGAGUCACCUAGGUGUAGUUUAUGAAAUGACAGAAGAUUCUAUUUAAUCUAUCUUCUUGCCUCUGCUUCUAAGACUUCUUGUAGCAGCGAGGCUACAGCUAGGAGAGAGGGAAUUUAUAGACUUUUUGAAGCAGUUCUCUGAUGUUCCUUGAAAGGACUUUUGAUUGUGAAAGAUAUUUUUGAAAGUCUUGACUGUUUUAUUUUUAGAUGCAGCAAAGUGGAGAAUUAUAUGCCUGCAGAAGAAAACCAAGCUGGCAGGCUUCCUGAACUUAUUCAGAGGUAAAGAAUGGAGGAAGCGUGAUGAAAAAAGAAUACAGAUCUGAAACCUACUCAACAGUCCACCAAUAAGAUCUCACAUCCUGUCCUGAAGGAGCUGUCGGUGGACCCUUCUUUAGAUAACGUUACUAAGGCCAUCAAGCAGCUGCCCACAGGCAAGUCUCCAGGCCCCAAUGGCAUUCCACCUGAAGAGUACACAUGUGGAGGUGCCCGCCUGGUCAGGAAACUCACCAGCCUUUUCAAAACUAUAUGGGAACAGAGUACGGUGCCCCGGGUGUAUAAGGAUGCAUUCAUAGUCCAUCUAUACCAAAGGAAGGGAAACAUAUCUAGCUGUGACAACCAUCACAGAAUCUCACUGCUGUCUCUACCAGGGAAGAUCCUUGCACGGGUUGUCUUCAGACUCAUCUGUCACCUGGUGGACUCAGUGUAUCCAGAGUCACAGUGUGGUUUUUGUGCUGGCCAUGUCACCAUGGACAUGAUUUUUGCAGCCCAACAAAUAUCAGACGGGGCUCGUGAACGGAAGAAGAACUUGUGCAUGGUGUUUGUUGACCUGACCAAGGCCUUCGACACAUUGAAUCGUAAGGGCUGAUGGAAACUCCUUUAUAAGUUUGGUUGAUCAGAGAAGAUGGUUGCUGUCAUCCACUCAUUUCAUGAUGGUCAGGAUGAUGUAGGCUCACCCACAGGCUCUGGAGGCAGUGUGGAGUCUGCUUCAAAACCAAAAUAAAAAACUACCAUGCUGUUGUGCUCA
RNAcentral lists this long non-coding RNA (1284 nucleotides) under Chrysemys picta bellii (western painted turtle). Its description in RNAcentral is "lncRNA (ENSCPBG00000026670.1)". The record is from RNAcentral. Lineage: Eukaryota; Metazoa; Chordata; Testudines; Emydidae.